AGAGUUUGAUCAUGGCUCAGGAUAAACGCUGGCGGCGUACUUAACACAUGCAAGUCGAACGAGGAGCUUCGGUGUAGCAAUACAUCGGAGCUUCGAGUGGCGCACGGGUGAGUAACACGUGGGCAACCUGCCCUAGAGACUGGGAUACCCCCUCGAAAGGGGGGCUAAUACCGGAUACGUUCCUCGGGUCGCGAGACCUGAGGAGGAAAGGCGGCGCAAGCUACCGCUCUUGGAGGGGCUCGCGGCCUAUCAGCUAGUUGGUGAGGUCACGGCUCACCAAGGCUAUGACGGGUAGCUGGUCUGAGAGGACGACCAGCCACACGGGGACUGAGACACGGCCCCGACUCCUACGGGAGGCAGCAGUGGGGAAUUUUCCGCAAUGGGCGAAAGCCUGACGGAGUGACGCCGCGUGGGGGACGAAGGCCUUCGGGUCGUAAACCCCUGUCAGAGGGAAAGAAGGGUCGCCUGGUUAAUACCCAGGUGAUCUGACGGUACCUUCAGAGGAAGCCCCGGCCAACUCUGUGCCAGCAGCCGCGGUAAGACAGAGGGGGCAAGCGUUGCUCGGAAUCACUGGGCGUAAAGGGCGCGUAGGCGGGAUGGCAAGUCGGUCGUGAAAUCCCUCGGCUCAACCGAGGAGCGUCGGCCGAUACUGCCGUUCUUGAGGGAUGCAGAGGAGACUGGAAUUCCCGGUGUAGCGGUGAAAUGUGUAGAGAUCGGGAGGAACACCGGUGGCGAAGGCGGGUCUCUGGGCAUCUCCUGACGCUGAGGCGCGAAAGCGUGGGGAGCAAACGGGAUUAGAUACCCCAGUAGUCC
This 813-nucleotide ribosomal RNA is filed under the name uncultured bacterium. RNAcentral's name for it is "bacterial SSU rRNA". It matches the Rfam family "Bacterial small subunit ribosomal RNA", at positions 8 to 796 of the family's 1533-position model. The record is from RNAcentral.